AUUGAACGCUGGCGGCAGGCCUAACACAUGCAAGUCGAGCGGCAGCGGAAAAGUAACUUGCUACUUUUGCCGGCGAGCGGCGGACGGGUGAGUAAUGCCUGGGAAACUGCCCAGUCGAGGGGGAUAACAGUUGGGAACGACUGCUAAUACCGCAUACGCCCUACGGGGGAAAGCAGGGGACCUUCGGGCCUUGCGCGAUUGGAUAUGCCCAGGUGGGAUUAGCUAGUUGGUGAGGUAAUGGCUCACCAAGGCGACGAUCCCUAGCUGGUCUGAGAGGAUGAUCAGCCACACUGGAGCUGAGACACGGUCCAGACUCCUACGGGAGGCAGCAGUGGGGAAUAUUGCACAAUGAGGGAAACCCUGAUGCAGCCAUGCCGCGUGUGUGAAGAAGGCCUUCGGGUUGUAAAGCACUUUCAGCGAGGAGGAAAGGUUGGUAGCUAAUAACUGCCAGCUGUGACGUUACUCGCAGAAGAAGCACCGGCUAACUCCGUGCCAGCCGCCGCCGUAA
Molecule: ribosomal RNA, 508 nt
Filed under: uncultured bacterium
Lineage: Bacteria
Description: partial 16S ribosomal RNA
Rfam family: Bacterial small subunit ribosomal RNA
Source: RNAcentral